CUCUCUACAGUCUACACCUGCUGUUGCGGCUGCACACUGCAGUAGCGUGGGGAACUUGUUAGGUGGUGACGUCAGCCAAAGAACUGGAAAACCAGAGCGGUGCCGUGCGGGAAAGAUCAAAGAAGAACACGAAGCAAAACAGCAAGCUCCGGAUUCACCACCCGAUCGAUCACCUGAGCCGAGCCGAGGUCUGGAUCGAUGAACUCUUCGGGGGCCGGGGGCAGCGCGGCGGAGUGGGAGGACUCGGCGGGGGAGAUGGAGGCGGAGGACAACCACCACGGCUCCACCGCCGGCGCCGUCGGCAUGGGCAUGAUGGAGGUCGACGCCGACGCGCAGGACCUCGCCGCCGAGGCGCCGACGUCCUCAUCCCCAGCUCCGCCCUCCCACGCCGACUUCUUCAACUCCUUCCCCGACGACUUCGACGACCAAGACCUCGCCUGACCGCCUCCCACCAACCCCGAACUCCUCACCAGUCACCAGGGUAUCAGAAUGAACAAAUAAUUGUGUGCUCAACAAAUAUGUUAAUGCGUCAUUAGAUAAAGGAACAGGCGGCUGUCUCCGUCUACUUCUGUUGGAUCUCCCACCCACCUCUACGUGCAUGGAUGCUGUUGUAAAAGUGACUUGCACGCUAUGUCCCAGUGUGUGGGAAUUUUACAUUUGUACAGCAAAACCACAAAUUUGAGUUAUAAGUUUUUUUUUAGAUCAA
Lolium perenne is the source of this 706-nucleotide non-coding RNA. The record is from RefSeq and is a predicted model, not a curated record. Lineage: Eukaryota; Viridiplantae; Streptophyta; Magnoliopsida; Poales; Poaceae.